Molecule: long non-coding RNA, 474 nt
Organism: Cryptomeria japonica (Japanese cedar)
Lineage: Eukaryota; Viridiplantae; Streptophyta; Pinopsida; Cupressales; Cupressaceae
Exons: 2
Source: RefSeq, a predicted model, not a curated record
AAACUAAUCACCUCAUGUUACCAUCAUCAUAUGACGACCAAAGAACUUUUCUCUUUUUUUUAGUAUAAUUAUCUCUCCUGCACGCAACUGCCUGUCUCAUUCUUCAUUUUGAAUAACAAUUCUUGUGUGAUAAUGGGGGGAACGUUGUGUUGUUGUUGUCCGGGGUGUUGUUGUGCUAAAUCCGAUUGUUGUGGCUCAGGCAGUUCUGCUUCAACCUGUUGCGAUAUUCUCAAGGCCAUUAUCUUUCCUCCCUCCAAUUUCGAAAUUAGUAGCUCUCAGUUCUGGAUAUGCUUGCUUCUCACAGCACUUGGGUAUUUGCCAGGGAACAUAUAUUCCAUAUAUUACGUAAUAUAUCCAGAGAAAUGAUCUUAAUCUUAAGAGCAUGAUUGUGCUUGUUAAUGUUGGAUGUAUGAUUAAUGUUGUGGACUGAAUAAUUUAAUAAUCACAUGUUGUUAACGUGUGAAUGAUUUGUGA